This 580-nucleotide ribosomal RNA is filed under the name uncultured bacterium. Its description in RNAcentral is "bacterial SSU rRNA". It matches the Rfam family "Bacterial small subunit ribosomal RNA", at positions 338 to 916 of the family's 1533-position model. The record is from RNAcentral.
CCUACGGGAGGCAGCAGUAAGGAAUAUUGGUCAAUGGAGGCAACUCUGAACCAGCCAUGCCGCGUGCAGGAAGAAGGCCCUAUGGGUCGUAAACUGCUUUUGUACCAGAGAAAACCCGAGUACGUGUACUCGGUUGAUAGUAUGGUAAGAAUAAGCAUCGGCUAACUUCGUGCCAGCAGCCGCGGUAAGACGAAGGAUGCAAGCGUUAUCCGGAUUCAUUGGGUUUAAAGGGUGCGUAGGCGGACUGAUAAGUCAGUGGUGAAAUCUCUCGGCUUAACCGAGAAACUGCCAUUGAUACUGUUAGUCUAGAGUAUAGAUGACGUUGGCGGAAUAUGACAUGUAGUGGUGAAAUACUUAGAUAUGUCAUAGAACACCGAUUGCGAAGGCAGCUAACGAAACUAUAACUGACGCUGAGGCACGAAAGUGCGGGGAUCAAACAGGAUUAGAUACCCUGGUAGUCCGCACCGUAAACGAUGAUUACUCGUUGUUGGCAAUAUGACCGUCAGCGACCAAGCGAAAGCGAUAAGUAAUCCACCUGGGGAGUACGCCGGCAACGGUGAAACGUCAAAUGAAUUGACGG